Molecule: long non-coding RNA, 2491 nt
Filed under: Xyrichtys novacula (pearly razorfish)
Lineage: Eukaryota; Metazoa; Chordata; Actinopteri; Labriformes; Labridae
Source: RNAcentral
AAAAGAGGCAAUGGUUUUAUUUUCAUACACAUUGACAAAGAGCAAGACAGAAGGAUCUAUGAGUUUAAACGGCACAUCCUCAACAGAGACACUAGGCAGGGGGAACUGUAAAUACAGAGACCACAUCAGGAAAUACACUAAAAGGGAAGAGGGGGGGAGAAUAUGAGCCAGCACAGCGACGGCAUUUGAUACACAUAACCUUUAAAUGUGUGCCGACACAAGGGCAGCACGCCAUCAGAAAAACAUUUCGAAGAAAACUAGACGUUUAAAAAGAAAAGGACUGCUCAUGUAUGGAAGACAUUCUCAACUCAUUUCACUAAAACCUUCAUCAGAAAAAAAAACAAGAAAGCAAAUAAGUGUGCAUUGGCUUUUUCGAGAGUAAAUAUCCCUGAGCAAAAGGCUCAAUCAGCAUAGAAGUAAACUUCCCCCCCCGAGCAACACUUGGACGUUUACUCAGAGAGCGAAAACAAGGUGCACAAGUUCAAAAAAGGAGAGCCACUGACAACUAUCAAGACCUUUCAGGAUGUUUUGCAUGCUUCUUCUUGCUAAGUUGCUUUUAAACCGCACAUAUACUGAAUCACCUCCGGUCUGUUUUAGUUUUAGGACUUGCACGUCUUUCUUCAAGGCAUCCACCAGUUCAGAAAACAAGCAAACAUCAGCUGCUUGCCAUAUUAACUUUUGCCAAAGCUGUCAGUAUAACACAUGGAUCGCAAAAGUGCACUCAUAUGGUGCAUUCGGGUGCUAAAUCUACCUCUCGGGUUUGGUUGUAACAGUGAAGUUAGAACUCAAAGUCAGAGAGGAAACAUUGAGAGCAGACUGAGAACUUUGCGACUAGUUUAGUGUUUUAUCAUGUUUUCACCAACUCAUGAAGACAGCAGGUUAAAAGGUUAUUUCACACAGUAGUAAAACAAAAAGGGGGUUCAGUCAGCAGAUCAGUGCUUCCCACACACAGGUGGUACCUGGGCAGAAACCCCACAUAUAUUUCCCUGCAGUGGCUAACACUGUGGGACACAGGCUGUACGAUGUUAGACAUAUGACCUGAAACAUGUCAUACUGCCGCCAGAGUCUUAUUUUCUAUAAAUUGGUGUUUUGCACUACAUCACAACCUGCUUUAACUUUAUCGGUUGGUGGUCUUUACAAUCACCUCCAGAGGAACUUUCUUAUGUGACUGUAGCUAACGUCUGGGAAUGAGUCAAACAGAGUCAGAUCCAUUCAGCAAUGCCAGGCUGCCAUCGCAGAAAGCUGGCAAAGAGAGAUUUCUGGACUUGUUUUGGUGCCUUUUUGUUUCAGUACUUGUUCAUGUUAAGGUGGAUUACCAGUGAGGUUUCCACAGUAUUUACACACCUGUGGCACAUGUACAGCGUGGUUUAAUGAGCUUCGGUGUCCGAUGUUUAACAUGAGACACCACAGCUCAUUAUAACUGUUUAGAUAGACACUAGCCUAAUUGUAGAAAUAAUAGCUAACCCAGCUACUACUCUGGUAGGAGUUGACUGAUAUUGAUUUUUCUCUAGUUCAUAAGACCAAUAACCAUAUUUUAGAAUCAAUAUGCAUUUUACAGUAAAACUGAAUACUUCUCCUGUAAACGCCGUCACCAAGGUAAUACUUAUGUGACGAAUGACCAAUCAGACAAUGUAACAGGAGGAGUACACACUUUUUUGACCAGUUAAUUUGAUCCCAAAUGCUGAUAUAGUAACCUGUACCAGCCCCCCGACUGAAAGAGAGAUGAGUUUUAUUGUUUGUUAAAGACCCACCCUGUCCUCUACCACAGGUACAGCUCCAUUCUGUGGGAAACACUGGUGUUAAGGGUUUGAAGGUAUUUGGCUGGAUAAUGAGUUGGUUCCUAAUUUCUGAUCACACACACAGCAGCAUCUUUCUGCUCUCAAAAUAAACCGUACCAUUGUGGUCAGUGUAGUGCUGAGGAGAUAAAGUGUAUUCAAGGUCCAGCUCUUCAAAAAAAAAAAAACAGAAAUUAAUGUGCACUUUGACGUUGAAUUUUCACCGUUAGCCUGUUCUGCUAAAGGUAUACUAUAAUGUUAUUUUUUCAUUUGUUAUGUUAUGAUCUAAAAGAAUAUUUAUGAUUAUUAAGACUUGGAGUGAUUUUUUUUGUUUGUUUAAAACCAAGUUUACAAGUGCUCUGAGUACAACAAAUCAAUUACAUGAAACUCUCCAUUCUACAGUGGUUUCAGCAGGAAUCUCUGAGGCGGUUAUAUUUAAGAAAAAAAAAACUAACUAAGAGUUAAACUGACACUACCAUCUUGACUAGAUAUUUUUGCAUUGAUUUAGUUCAACUUACCAGCUAAAAUCAACAAUAAGAAACAAAGAUUGAAACUUUUUGGGUCAUGCCAACAUUCCAAAGCAGGAGUUUUUCCAGUCUUUGUACGUGUUUGGGAUCAACGAAUCCCAUUAAAUACAAAGAAAUCACAGGGAGUGUGAUGGGAAUACACUCUUCUAUCUUGAGAUAUUUUAAGAGUCCAGGUUCAGUUCUUGGGUA